AUCGGGCCUCCCGCAGCCGGGUUCCCCGUGCCCCCUCCUGGCUGGCAGGGCCGCGGGCAGGCCUGGCGCGGGCGACGUGGUGAUGCGGGGACCCCGGUGGGAGGUCGGCCCGGGGAACCCCCACGGGUGGAGUGGAGUGGCCUACUGUGUAUGACUGCAGCCUGGGCCGGGAUCUCAGAGGGAAGGACCCCCCUGCUGGGGGCUGUAAAAAUGGAAAUCGCCACCCCUCCAACAUCAAAGUGUAUUAUCUACUGGAAAAGAAAAGUCAAGUCUGAAUAUAUGCGUCUUCGGCAGCUCAAGAGAUUUCAGGCAAACAUGGGAGCAAAGGCUCUGUUUGUGGCCAACUUUGCAAAGGUUCAUGAAAAGACUCGAAUUCUUAAUGAAGACUGGAAGAAGCUUCGAGUUCAACCAGUGCAGCUGAUGAAGCCAGUCAGCGGGCACCCCUUCCUAAAACAGUGUACAGUUGAGAGCAUUUUUCCAGGAUUUCCAAGCCAGACGCUGUACAUGAGGACACUGAACACGGUGGCACUGGUGCCUAUCAUGUACUCCUGGUCCCCCCUUCAGCAGAACUUCAUGGUGGAGGAUGAAACUGUUCUGUGCAACAUCCCUUACAUGGGAGAUGAGGUGAAGGAAGAGGAUGAAACCUUCAUUGAAGAGCUUAUUAAUAACUAUGAUGGGAAAGUUCAUGGAGAGGAAGAAAUGAUUUCAGGUUCAGUCCUCAUCAGUGAUGCUGUCUUCCUGGAGCUAGUGAAUGCCCUGAAUCAGUACUCAGAUGAGGAAGAGGAAGGACACAAUGAUUCUGAAGCCAAACAGGAGGAUGGGAAAGAGGAACUGCCAGUCACAAGAAAAAGAAAACGAAUUGCAGUGGAAGGUAACAAGAAGUGUUCCAAGAAACGGUUUCCGAAUGACAUGAUAUUCACUGCCAUUUCUUCUAUGUUUCCUGAAUAUGGCUUCCCAGAUGACAUGAAAGAGAGGUACCGAGAGCUCACUGAGGUGUCGGAUCCCAAUGUGCUGCCCCCGCAGUGCACUCCCAACAUCGACGGGCCAUGCGCAAAGUCUGUGCAGCGGGAGCAGUCCCUGCACUCCUUCCACACGCUCUUCUGCCGGCGCUGCUUCAAAUACGACUGUUUUCUGCAUCCUUUUCAUGCUACUCCUAAUGUGUACAAACGAAAGAACAGAGAGACCAAGAUUGAGCCAGAUCCUUGCGGAGCAGACUGUUUCCUCUGGCUGGAAGGAGCCAAGGAGUUUGCUGCACUUCACAAUCCCAGGUCCAAGUGCUCAGGCAGGCGCCGCCGGAGGCACCAUGUGGUCAGUGCUUCCUGCUCAAAUGCCCCAGCUUCUGCGGUUGCUGAGACAAGGGAGGGAGACAGCGACAGAGACACGGGCAAUGAGUGGGCUUCUAGUUCCUCGGAGGCAAACUCCCGCUGUCAGACCCCUACUAAGCAGAAGCUGAGCCCGACCUCAUCCCAGCUGUUUGCAGUGGAGGCACAGCAGGAGCCAGUCGAGUGGACAGGAGCUGAGGAGUCCCUCUUCCGUGUCUUCCAUGGGACCUACUUCAACAACUUCUGCUCCAUUGCCAGACUGCUGGGAACAAAGACAUGCAAGCAGGUCUUUCAGUUUGCAGUGAAAGAGUCACUUAUAACAAAACUGCCAACAAAUGAAUUGAUGAAUCCAUCCCAGAAGAAGAAAAGGAAGCACAGGCUGUGGGCUGCCCAUUGCAGGAAGAUUCAGCUGAAGAAAGACAAUUCACCUACCCAGGUGUACAACUACCAGCCCUGUGACCAUCCUGAACAUCCCUGUGACAGCUCCUGCCCUUGCAUUAUGACCCAAAAUUUCUGUGAGAAGUUCUGCCAGUGCAACCCUGACUGUCAGAAUCGCUUCCCAGGCUGCCGCUGUAAGACCCAGUGCAACACCAAGCAGUGCCCAUGCUACUUGGCCGUGCGGGAGUGCGAUCCAGACCUCUGCCUGACCUGCGGGGCAUCAGAGCACUGGGACUGCAAGGUUGUCUCCUGCAAGAACUGCAGCAUCCAGCGCGGUCUCAAAAAGCAUUUGUUGCUGGCACCAUCAGAUGUUGCUGGCUGGGGGACUUUCAUCAAAGAAUCUGUGCAGAAGAAUGAAUUCAUCUCUGAAUACUGUGGUGAGCUUAUUUCACAGGAUGAGGCUGACCGGCGAGGAAAGGUCUAUGACAAGUACAUGUCAAGUUUCCUCUUCAACCUCAACAAUGAUUUUGUUGUUGAUGCCACUCGCAAAGGAAAUAAAAUCCGCUUUGCCAACCACUCCGUGAACCCCAAUUGCUAUGCCAAAGGUGAGCUAUCCUCACACAGGCCAUUCAAGGUGGAGGAAGAAUCUCUGGUCCUACUCAGCUCUGAGAACACAGGACGUUCACUGGGGUUCCAAGUCACACUGAGUCCAUCGGAGCUGAAGAACAUCAGAGACAUAGGCAAACUCUCCUCGUGGCUGCAAAUCACAUUCCUACUGUUGGGGGCUCUGCUCAGCUCUGCUGUGGCUCUGACCUUGCAGGGAGAUCGCUGCUAGAGAGCAGGCUAGGAUGUUACUCAUCCUGCUGAGCAGCAGUUCUGGAGCCUUUGCUUUGCAACUGGCAACGGUCAGGCUGGGCUGAUGGUGCUCCAUGACCUUUGGACCUGGGCUACAGUUGCACAUCUCUGAUACUGUCUCUCUGGUUGCAGUUGUGAUGGUGAAUGGAGACCACCGGAUAGGAAUCUUUGCCAAGAGGGCCAUCCAGGCAGGAGAGGAGCUCUUCUUUGAUUACCGGUACAGCCAGGCAGAUGCCCUGAAGUAUGUUGGCAUAGAGAGGGAGACCGAUAUCAUCUAAGCUGUGUGCCAGGCGGUCCCCACACAUUUUGCUGCUGCACCUUGUAAGCAAUGCCAUGUUUGCUUCACGCUGACAUGACUGCUGUCCAUGUUCCCCUUGUUGUGUGUGUCACAAGUGCUACUUUCCACCCAGACACCUGGAGAGAGACUCAGGGCAGGAGCGUGAAUGGCUGCCACCAGGACAGCAGCUCUGCCCAGCCCCAGGAUGGGGCAGGUUCCAGCACCUUGCACUGCUGGUAAUCUCCUGGGCUGGAGGGACCAAGCAGCUGGGGCUUGAAGAAGAGCUGUGUUGCAGGAGGAGGGACAGUCACCAGUCCUCAGUCUCUUUCUAUUUUCUGUGAACUGCUAGAAGAACAAGAGUGAGUGAAGUACACUGAGACCUGGAGGGCAUGGCUGAAGGGUGACAGGGCUGGCAUUCUCCUCCAGCCUCUGUCUGGGACAAGCUCUGGUCUCUGGUGCUACCUUUUGCUGCCUGUUUUGUUGCAUUGGCUAGGACAGUGACAGCAUUGGAAGCUGUAGAGGUGUGGCCACAUUCCUGCACGUCCCUAGGUUCCACAGCUACUAUCGCUAGGGCUCUGUUUCCCCUCUGCCUCAGCUAGCUGGAGGACGGAGACCACCAGCAUGUGGCUCAUGUGGCUCCUUGGGACAGGAAAAGCAGCACUAUGCAAAAGUCUCUUUGGGCAGGGAAGCCACUGAGCUGGUUAGAGAUGAUGUUACGGGAGUGCUGCUGCAAGCACAAGAGGAACCCACAGGAAGCAUGCACGCAGGAGCAUGAGGAAGCCCUUGCAGCCUGCAGCAUGCUCUCAUGGCAGGCUGUGGAUUGGCUGUCUGGUUCUUGCCUAUCUGCAGCUGCUCUGCUGCCUGGGUCUUCUGGGGUUGGGGCAGCUCUGAGGCUGCGUGGUGAACCCCCUCUUGCUUGGCUGUGGCUGCAUCCAGCCAAGCUUUUGCCACCAGGAAGUCAGUGCUCCAGGCAGGUGCUUCCUGGCCACACAGUACCAGAGCUGGUUUCUCCAGCCUCUGUAGGGAUGGUCCCUAUCAGAGAGAAGUGGGCUCUUUGAGACAUUGCAGGCCCUUCAGGAGCCAGCAGAGCAGGUCCUCUCAGGUUGAGAACCUUUCUCAUUGCACAGAAUUGCUUGAAUGUUGCAGUGGUGAGGUUUGAGCAGAGUGCAGCACUCACACCUGCUGUGUGUGUUGACAAAGGGGAAGCUCUGUGGAUGUUUCUGGCAUUCUGGUGCUGGCCUUGGCUUUUGGGAUAAAGGGGGAAAUGUUCUUUGGCAAAGUGAGGUUUGGCAUUAGCACCCCAUGCAAAAAGGAGAGAGAAAAAAGCACUUUAAAUUAAGCCUUCUCAGCCAGGCAGCUGGGCCCCAUGGGCUGCCCAGGGCGCUCUCAGGUUGAGGGACCACAGACCUCCCACACCACUGCUGUCCUUCAGCAGCGCCUUUGCAGGGACAUUUCUUCAGGCCUGGGACUGGGCAGCUUGGAAGAAUGGAUGGCUGCCUGGCUGGUGGGAUGGCUGGAGGGAUGGCUGGCUGGCUUUUCCCUGAGCAGGAGGCUGGGCCUGAAGGAUGGGGCUGUCCUGUAGGAGCCACAUAUGUCACCAGCUGGCCUGGUGCCAGGUGCUGGACACUGCUGGACUCCUGUGCCAGCCUGGAGCAGUGCUGCGGGACGGUGUUUGCCCACGACUGGGCCCACUGCCCUGCUGCUCUGGGAAGUGCAAGGCUCCCACACAGGGCAUGGCCCCAUCCCAGCAGCGCAUCUCCCAGUGCAGAGAGCGCCCUGGGUCUGCACCAGGAGCUGAGCCCUCCCCAGCACAGGUGUGGUCCUGCCCUGCCUGCUCUCCGUCCUGUCUUGGGGGUUUGGGUCUGUGUGGAGCAGCACUUGUACCCCAGUCCCACUCCUUCGUCCCCUGCCCCUCUCCUGCCUCCGUCCCACAGCUCAUCCCAGCCCCACUGUCCGCUCAGUGUCCUCUGCCACCUUGGCCGUAUCUGCACUAUGCCAGGCUUGUGUCUGUGGUUUGUUGACGGUGAAUUAUAAUGCACUUUAAAACUUAUGUGGCUUCUAGCCUUUGUCAUAAUAAAGCGAUAACGAACAUCC
Molecule: RNA transcript, 4926 nt
Organism: Gallus gallus (chicken)
Lineage: Eukaryota; Metazoa; Chordata; Aves; Galliformes; Phasianidae
Gene: EZH1
Gene name: enhancer of zeste 1 polycomb repressive complex 2 subunit
Exons: 19
Source: RefSeq, a predicted model, not a curated record